UGAUGAUGGUGAGAUCAAUUUUUGAGCAUAAUCUUAAAUCUCUCCUAAGCUUGGUAGAGAUUCUCUCCUUCCUUCUGUCUGAAACUCAGAAUCUCACUUCUCAAACG
This 107-nucleotide small nucleolar RNA is filed under the name Capsicum annuum. RNAcentral's name for it is "Plant small nucleolar RNA R71". It matches the Rfam family "Plant small nucleolar RNA R71". From Rfam's summary of the family: R71 is a member of the C/D box family of snoRNAs containing the C (UGAUGA) and D (CUGA) box motifs. Lineage: Eukaryota; Viridiplantae; Streptophyta; Magnoliopsida; Solanales; Solanaceae. The record is from Rfam by way of RNAcentral.